GUCCUCCAGUCUCUCUCUCUCUCUCUCUCUCUCUCUCUCUCUCUCUCUCUCUCACACACACACACACACACACACACACACAGAGAGAGAGAGAGAGAGAGAGAGAGAGAGAGAGAGUUAUCAGGUGAG
Podarcis lilfordi (Lilford's wall lizard) is the source of this 129-nucleotide non-coding RNA. NCBI's taxonomy places the organism in Eukaryota, Metazoa, Chordata, Lepidosauria, Squamata, Lacertidae. The record is from the annotation of a GenBank genome assembly.